RNAcentral lists this ribosomal RNA (406 nucleotides) under uncultured bacterium. RNAcentral's name for it is "partial 16S ribosomal RNA". It matches the Rfam family "Bacterial small subunit ribosomal RNA", at positions 30 to 526 of the family's 1533-position model. The record is from RNAcentral.
AUUGAACGCUGGCGGCAGGCCUAACACAUGCAAGUCGAGCGAGCGGCGGACGGGUGAGUAAUGUCUGGGAAACUGCCUGAUGGAGGGGGAUAACUACUGGAAACGGUAGCUAAUACCGCAUACCAUCAGAUGUGCCCAGAUGGGAUUAGCUAGUAGGUGGGGUAAUGGCUCACCUAGGCGCCGAUCCCUAGCUGGUCUGAGAGGAUGACCAGUCACACUGGGACUGAGCAACGGUCCAGAAUCCUGCGGGAGGAAGCAGUGGGGAAUAUUGCACAAUGGGCGCAAGCCUGAUGCAGCCAUGCCGCGGGUGUGAAGAAGGCCUUCGGGUUGUAAAGCACUUUCAGCGGGGAGGCGUUACCCGCAGAAGAAUCACCGGCUAACUCCGUGCCAGCAGCCGCGGUAAUUC